Molecule: ribosomal RNA, 474 nt
Filed under: uncultured bacterium
Lineage: Bacteria
Description: bacterial SSU rRNA
Rfam family: Bacterial small subunit ribosomal RNA
Source: RNAcentral
CUGGCGGCGUGCUUAACACAUGCAAGUCGAACGAAGCCAAAAGGAAGCUUGCUUCUUGAAGCUUAGUGGCGGACGGGUGAGUAACGCGUGAGAAACCUGCCCUUGAGUGGGGAAUAACACCGAGAAAUCGGUGCUAAUACCGCAUAAUGUCACGAUACCGCAUGAUAUUGUGACCAAAGGAUUUAUUCGCUUAAGGAUGGUCUCGCGUCCGAUUAGCUAGUUGGUGAGGUAACGGCCCACCAAGGCGACGAUCGGUAGCCGAACUGAGAGGUUGAUCGGCCACAUUGGGACUGAGACACGGCCCAGACUCCUACGGGAGGCAGCAGUGGGGAAUAUUGGGCAAUGGGCGAAAGCCCUGACCCAGCAACGCCGCGUGAAGGAUGACGGUCUUCGGAUUGUAAACUUCUUUGAUUGGGGAAGAAUAAAUGACCUACCCAAAGAACAAGUCACGGCUAACUACGUGCCAGCCGCCGC